Molecule: precursor RNA, 195 nt
Filed under: Vitis vinifera (wine grape)
Lineage: Eukaryota; Viridiplantae; Streptophyta; Magnoliopsida; Vitales; Vitaceae
Description: partial precursor microRNA MIR167b_3I-5
Rfam family: MIR167 microRNA precursor family (bases 80-181)
Source: RNAcentral
GAAGAAGAAGCCCAAGAAUUGAGGGGGGCCCUGUGCUACAACACGAGGAGGCUAUAUGUGUAUGAUCCAUCUUAUCAUGCACCAAUAGCAGUUGAAGCUGCCAGCAUGAUCUAAGCUUUUCUGUUGCCCACCCUUUCUCCAGGAAAGACUAGAUCAUGUGGCAGUUUCACCUGUUGAUGGAAGCAUGAGAAACCC